RNAcentral lists this ribosomal RNA (465 nucleotides) under Vreelandella stevensii. Its description in RNAcentral is "partial 16S ribosomal RNA". It matches the Rfam family "Bacterial small subunit ribosomal RNA", at positions 338 to 795 of the family's 1533-position model. Lineage: Bacteria; Pseudomonadati; Pseudomonadota; Gammaproteobacteria; Oceanospirillales; Halomonadaceae. The record is from RNAcentral.
CCUACGGGGGGCUGCAGUGGGGAAUAUUGGACAAUGGGGGGAACCCUGAUCCAGCCAUGCCGCGUGUGUGAAGAAGGCCCUCGGGUGGUAAAGCACUUUCAGUGAGGAAGAACGCCUGGUGGUUAAUACCCAUCAGGAAAGACAUCACUCACAGAAGAAGCACCGGCUAACUCCGUGCCAGCAGCCGCGGUAAUACGGAGGGUGCGAGCGUUAAUCGGAAUUACUGGGCGUAAAGCGCGCGUAGGUGGCUUGAUAAGCCGGUUGUGAAAGCCCCGGGCUCAACCUGGGAACGGCAUCCGGAACUGUCAAGCUAGAGUGCAGGAGAGGAAGGUAGAAUUCCCGGUGUAGCGGUGAAAUGCGUAGAGAUCGGGAGGAAUACCAGUGGCGAAGGCGGCCUUCUGGACUGACACUGACACUGAGGUGCGAAAGCGUGGGUAGCAAACAGGAUUAGAUACCCCUGUAGUC